GACGAACGCUGGCGGCGUGCUUAACACAUGCAAGUCGAACGGAAAGUCCCUGCUUUUGUGGGGUGCUCGAGUGGCGAAAGGGUGAGUAACACGUGAGUAACCUCCCCUUUACUUUGGGAUAACUUCAGGAAACUGGGGCUAAUACCGGAUAGGAGCUCCUGCUGCAUGGUGGGGGUUGGAAAGUUUCGGCGGUUGGGGAUGGACUCGCGGCUUAUCAGCUUGUUGGUGGGGUAGUGGCUUACCAAGGCUUUGCGGGGUAGCCGGCCUGAGAGGGUGACCGGCCACAGUGGGACUGAGAUACGGCCCAGACUGCUACGGGAGGCAGCAGUGGGGAAUAGUGCACGAUGGGCGGAAGCCUGAUGCAGCAACGCCGCGUGCGGGAUGACGGCCUUCGGGUUGUAAACCGCUUUCGACUGUGACGAAGCGUGAGUGACGGUAAUGGGUAAAGAAGCACCGGCUAACUACGUG
RNAcentral lists this ribosomal RNA (468 nucleotides) under uncultured bacterium. RNAcentral's name for it is "partial 16S ribosomal RNA". It matches the Rfam family "Bacterial small subunit ribosomal RNA", at positions 28 to 507 of the family's 1533-position model. The record is from RNAcentral.